This 367-nucleotide ribosomal RNA is filed under the name Panopeus chilensis. RNAcentral describes it as "partial 12S small subunit ribosomal RNA". Lineage: Eukaryota; Metazoa; Arthropoda; Malacostraca; Decapoda; Panopeidae. The record is from RNAcentral.
UACUAUACUAGUGAGUAUUAUAAAAAUCUAAAUUAUUAAUAGAUAUAUUCUUUAAAUUUGAAGAAUUUGGCGGUAAUUUAGUCUUGUUAGAGGAACCUGUUUUUGAAUCGAUACACCACGUAGAAUCUUACUCAUCAUUAUAAAAGUUUAUAUACCAUCAUUAGCAGAUAAUUUUUAAAAAAUUAAUUAUUAAAGUUUAAGGAUAAGUUAAUUUAAAUUAGAUCAAGGUGUAGCCUAUAGGUGAGUUAAAAUGGGUUACAAUAAAAUUUAUUUAGAACGGAGCAGGUGUAGGAAAUAAACCUUGUAGAAGGAGGAUUUAAUUGUAAUAAAAGUUUAAUAAGCUAAAAAGAUAUAAGCUCUAAAUUAU